GGGGAAUUAGCUCAGCUGGCUAGAGCGCCUGCUUUGCACGCAGGAGGUCAUCGGUUCGACUCCGAUAUUCUCCA
This 74-nucleotide transfer RNA is filed under the name Bacteroidota bacterium. Its description in RNAcentral is "tRNA-Ala". It matches the Rfam family "tRNA". Rfam says of the family: Transfer RNA (tRNA) molecules are approximately 80 nucleotides in length. Their secondary structure includes four short double-helical elements and three loops (D, anti-codon, and T loops). Lineage: Bacteria; Pseudomonadati; Bacteroidota. RNAcentral also lists the same sequence under 4 other names. The record is from RNAcentral.